CCUAGAGUUGUAGGCUUUGCCUGCUAUCUAUUACCCAUGUCUUUUGAGUACCUUCGUUUCCUCGGCGGGUCCGCCCGCCGAUUGGACAAUUUAAACCAUUUGCAGUUGCAAUCAGCGUCUGAAAAAACUUAAUAGUU
Molecule: unclassified non-coding RNA, 137 nt
Filed under: soil metagenome
Description: partial internal transcribed spacer 1
Source: RNAcentral